UGGGGCGUGGCCAAGUGGUAAGGCAGCGGGUUUUGGUCUCGCCAUCCGGAGGUUCGAAUCCUUCCGUCCCAG
RNAcentral lists this transfer RNA (72 nucleotides) under Lycopus lucidus (shiny bugleweed). RNAcentral describes it as "tRNA-Gln". It matches the Rfam family "tRNA". Rfam says of the family: Transfer RNA (tRNA) molecules are approximately 80 nucleotides in length. RNAcentral also lists the same sequence under 1 other name. Lineage: Eukaryota; Viridiplantae; Streptophyta; Magnoliopsida; Lamiales; Lamiaceae. The record is from RNAcentral.